GAAAUGCGAUAAGUAAUGUGAAUUGCAGAAUUCAGUGAAUCAUCGAAUCUUUGAACGCACAUUGCGCCCGCCAGUAUUCUGGCGGGCAUGCCUGUCCGAGCGUCAUUUCAACCAUCAAGUCCCCGGGCUUGUGUUGGGGACCUGCGGCUGCCCGCAGGCCCUGAAAACCAGUGGCGGGCUCGCUGUCACACCGAGCGUAGUAGCAAUCACCUCGCUCAGGGCGUGCUGCGGGUUCCGGCCGUUAAACAGCCUUACAAAACCCAAGGUUGACCUCGGAUCAGGCAGGAAGACCCGCUGAACUUAAGC
RNAcentral lists this unclassified non-coding RNA (306 nucleotides) under plant metagenome. RNAcentral's name for it is "partial contains 5.8S ribosomal RNA, internal transcribed spacer 2, and large subunit ribosomal RNA". The stretch from base 1 to 105 matches the Rfam family "5.8S ribosomal RNA", at positions 50 to 154 of the family's 154-position model. The record is from RNAcentral.